Molecule: long non-coding RNA, 3999 nt
Filed under: Triticum aestivum (bread wheat)
Lineage: Eukaryota; Viridiplantae; Streptophyta; Magnoliopsida; Poales; Poaceae
Description: long non-coding RNA (TAES_LNC006502)
Source: RNAcentral
AGAGAAUGGCUCAAGAAGUCUGAGCCGUUGCCUAAAGUGUUGUGUCAAGAAAAUGACUAACCGAUACUGCAUAUGUUGAAAGCAAGAGCCAAAAGAUGGUGGUCAAAAAUUGAAUUAGAUUAUGAUCAAGUAAAUGCUACAUGUUCCACAUAGCAAAUAGGUCCAAUUAUUAAAAAAAUAACAAAGCAUACAUAAUGUGGCGAAGAACCUGAAACAAUUACAAUUUUAAACUUCUAUACAUAAUUGGAGGUGCUUAAGUAAACCUUGGCUGAAGAUUUUGUGUCGAGGAAACCCUUCAAAUUGUUCCAGAUCAACUUGAACACACUGCCCACAUACACAAUAAAAAUAUGAUGCAAGGUCUGCAAUUUUAAAUUAAAAUUAUUACUGCACUACACCAUAAUACUUCUUUCAAACUAUCAUAAUUUUAAACAAACUAUUCAGUAUCUACAACUAAGUAAAAUAACCGCCGAUAAUAGUCGAUCUUUAUCUUCUACAUAUGAACAUAUAUGUGGUAUAUUUGUACCAGAAACAUAAGAAGAGGGACCUUACAAUGCUUGCCAGUGUUGGGGAUCAACACUGGUCACAUCCAUGCCAAGGUGGGCUUCAGGUCAGAGAGAGAUGCAACUGGCAACGUCCUCUACCUCUACUCCGGGGCGACCCUCCUUGUGCGUCCUCUUGCUUGAUGGUAUCCUUUGACUACAGAUCAUCCAAAUUCCUCCACCUCUGGGCAUCAUUUACUGCAGAGAAACGGAGUUAAGAGGGGGCUUAGUUUUAGACACCAAUCUAACUAUGGGAUAACAUCAUUAUGGAAGUAGGAAGGAGCCUUGGCGAAUAAUAGAUAUGUUUGAAAUAAAUAGACCAAACAUGCUAAUUACAAGAGGAAGAACAUGUUGAUCCAUCUACGACUUAUAAUGACCUAACGUCUAAGUUAUAACAUCAUUAUGGAAGUAGGCAGGCGCCUUGGUGAAUAAUAGAUAUGUUUAAAAUUAAAUAGACCAAACAUACUAAUUAGCAGCGGAAGAAUAUGUUGAUUCAUAUAUGAAUUCUAAUGGCCUUACAUGAUGCUCAGCGCCAUCGAGCGACCAUCAAUAAAAAUUACAGUUCUCCACAUUAGUAAUCUAACACCAAGAAAAUAAAUAAGCAGUCAUAAUCAUUUGCAACAUUCUUUUCUCUUCCAAUUUUGUAGAAAAGGAUAGAAGUUUUGUUCCAGAACCAUAAAUAGGAAAGAGAAAGAGAAAGAGAAAGAAAUACUAAAAUAUAGGGAACUUAACUAUUUGUCAAAUCAUGAGUUAUGUACAUAAAGAAGUAGGCACAAAAUUAACCUUGGAAUAGGAUUACUCUUCCUGUUUCUCGGCCCAACACCUUAAUAGUGUACUGUGUACCAUAAGAGCAUCAGUAAGUGACACAACUACUCUGCCUACUUCAAUGCCAUAUGUGUGUGCUGAAAGCAAAAAAAAGGAAAUAAAAAAUACUGCAUCUGAACCAUAUUGACUACUAAAAGGAUAGGCACAAGCUUUGCUAAAUUUACCACAAAUGUGAUAUAUUGUGCUAUAAUUAAAUGGGUGCAAUCUGACAAUUGCUAGCAUCACAGAUCAUCCAGGCUUCUAGUUACAUCUAUAAGUGGCCAAAAGGAAUGGCAAACUUUAUUUAGCUUGUAAUAUGCGAAUGCCAGGAAACAGUAGUUGAAUAUAUAUAAGCAAUCAGCCAAGAAAUGAGAUGCUAUAUGUGAAUAAUAUACAAGUACGGAGAUGCUAUAUCAAUGAAGGGCAUAUGGGCACAUCCAGGAAGAAAGAGAGUUCCUCAGUCAUAUAAAUCAGCAGGUAUGAGGCAUAAACAUGCAUCUUGUAUGCAUAUAAACAAAACAAUAUGUACACAGAGUUUUUUCUGGGCCAUCAGAAAUAGUGCAUUCUAAGCAUCAGAUGUUACCUAGCAGGAAAAAAUAAUCCGUUCGACAACAAACAAUGCCUAGAUUGCAUCACACCGAACCCAUGCAUAAAAAGGUUAACAGAAAGCAAGCCGAAGGCUUGUUACCUCAAAAUCAUCUCCUACAUAGCUUAAUAUCUACAACCCAUCUCCAAAUGAUUCCUACAAUAUUGCAAACCUUGCCAAUUGGGCCUCAUCCCCACAUUCUUAAAUAUCUAUAUACGUGAAUUAAGCUCAGUUGGUUUGAGCAAACAACUAUAAUAUGAUACAAUGCAUAGCAAGAUAGAACAAAAAAUGUCAAAAAGGCAUAAUAAACUUGCAAAGAGGCUACCAACAUAACAAUAGGGAUUCCUUUUUACCAAAGGAAAAAGCAGCAAGCUGCACCUUGCUCCAUGAAAAUUAGGGCUCAUAAUGGUCUAGGGACCUGAUUCGUACCUACGACAGGCUAUCAUCAACAGGAGCAGUGGGUACCUCGACGUUGGUCUCUCUAGAGCUGUUGCACACACACACUGACCUAUAUGUCAAGAUACAGAAAAAAUGGAUCAGACCAGAGAGAGAUGGAGGAAAUGGGGAAGUGGAGAGGGCACUCACCUCUACCUUUGCACGGCGGAUGAGUGGCGUCUCACCUCGGGCCAUCUUUUUCCUGAAGCGCACGAACUCGAGGACGAUGAUUCGGCGCUCCUCCAGUCGACGACGACGCCUCCAAGCAGAGCAGCAGCGCGAGUGGCAACCGGCAGACUUCACAUUUCUUAGUGUAUGGAACAGAGUGGCGCUGCAGCGAGGGAGCAAACCGAAGAUAUAUGGUGUGGGUAUGCAGUUGCUUAUAUCUAAUUAGGAAGACCGAAAGAUAGUGCCAUCCCCAUUUCCCUCAAAAGACAACAGUAAAACAAUAAAGUUGCAUUACUGAAAGCAUACGAAAUUCCAACAAUUUAUAAUUAAGACGAAAGAUAAUGUACUCUAAAGAUUUCUGGGCAGAAGACCGAAAGAUAGUGCCAUCCCCAUUUCCCUCAAAAGAGCAUGUGCUAAUAAUAUCUGAUAGUAUAGUAAGAAUGAUUUGUGUGCAAUGAAGAACAUAUCAACUGGUAAUAAUGGAAAAAGACAUGGGCACUUACAUGAAUACAGUAGAGAUGAGAGAUAGGUAAAUAUUGUCAUUUUCCGAACCUAUCACUUCCUCAUCUGAUAGUAAUGGUAAAAUCAUAUAAUUAUAUUUCUCUUCAUUAGUAAUCUAACACCAAGAAAAUAAAUAAGCAAUCAUAAUCAUUUGUCCAAACCAGCAUUGCUCUUAUAAUUUUGUAGAAAAGGGUGAAGUUCAGUUCAGGAACAGAAAUAAGAAAGAUAACAAGAUAUACUAAAAUAUAGGAAUUUAACUGUUUGUCAAAUCAUGAGUUAUGUGCUAAUAUCAAAUCUUGAGUUUCACACGAGUGAGACACAACAUGGCUAAGCAUUCAAAAGGAAAUAACAAAAUAUCAUUAGAUGAACAAAAAUUAAAGUAUCACUUGAUCUAUUUCUAGAGCAGUACAUAAUAUUAGCAAUGCUAGCUAGCUGCACAAAUCCGUGACCAACCUAAUCAUGUGUACGCAAGUGACAAUUAAUAGUAAGCCAAAAGAAAUGAAAAUUUGUUUCUUUACCUGCAACACAUAAUCGCUCCAACACAUUUCCAUUUCAGUAGUCUCCAAGCCAAACGCAACAUGAGCCGAGCAAAAGAAGGCAAAACAACACUAGAGCAGGACCAUGCAUCACAUAGCAACAAAUUACCUCAUAACCACGUAUAUUUAAGAGUGGCCCUCUCUGCAUAUCAUCCAAAGGUAAAUUAUUUAUAUCACACAUUAGUUAACUAUCCUUUUGGGAUCAUAACAAUGCUGCUUGCCUUAUUCUGUUUGAAGCAAAGCCACAUACACAAGUGUCUACAUUAACCAUUUAGGUUUUCCUUUACUGCUUUAAAGGUAAUAGUGGUUAUUAACUGCUGACAACCCAAAUAAUCUUAGCAACCAGGUGAGUUUGAAUCGAAGCCGAGAAGGGGAUAGUUGCUUACAUCAAGAUAGAAGCCCAAAUUGCUUGCGGGAGCACCAAACUAUC